RNAcentral lists this ribosomal RNA (253 nucleotides) under uncultured bacterium. RNAcentral's name for it is "partial 16S ribosomal RNA". It matches the Rfam family "Bacterial small subunit ribosomal RNA", at positions 524 to 776 of the family's 1533-position model. The record is from RNAcentral.
UAAGUAGGGGGCAAGCGUUGUCCGGAAUCAUUGGGCGUAAAGAGCGUGUAGGCGGUUCGGUAAGUCGGCUGUGAAAGUCCAGGGCUCAACCCUGGGAUGCCGGUCGAUACUGCCGGACUAGAGUUCGGAAGAGGCGAGUGGAAUUCCCGGUGUAGCGGUGAAAUGCGCAGAUAUCGGGAGGACCGCCUCUGGCGACGGCAGCUCGCUGGGACGUUACUGACGCUGAGACGCGAAAGCGUGGGGAGCAAACAGG